CUAGCAUAGCUGCGUAAAAACCUGCCGUUACGUUUAAUACAUAACGUCUUUAUCGCCGCGUGAUAUUUAUUUGCGCACAACUCUACAGCUUCCGGCUGAACAAUGCGAGGGAACGAUCAUAAUAAAGACUGCAAAUCAUGCUUCAAGUGCGGACUACACUCUUCAGAUAGAGAGCACAGGAGAUCAAGUUGAACCUACAUCACCCCCGACUACAAUAUCCCCGACAUUUCUUGUUAAAAACACACAAAGUCGCGCGUAAAUGUGUCCAACACGCCUGCCGCGAAGGGUGAUCGUUCCCUGGCGUACAUUUCCAGGCUGCAUAAGAGGUUGGAAAGACCCUCUUUCUCUCUCGCCCACCUCUAAAGAUGUUGCUCCAUACACGCCGGGGAAUGCAGAUGUCGGUAGCCGAGGAGGUGGCACUCUGAGCCCGGCAGGGGCAGGACCCUCGACCCUGGGAGACCCUCCGGCGAAGCUGGCGGCGAGACGCGGGAGAAGCGGCGCAGGCAGGCGGCGAGACCCUGGCUCUGACUGGCGGAGAGGGGGAUUGAGUCUAGACCGCAGUAGAGGAAGAAAGGACUGCCACUGGGGUCAGAGAGCAGCGACGAGAGCAUAGCCUCCGUACUAGCAUGGCGGAGCGAGUGUGUGUGGAAAUGUGUGUGUGGUUACUCCUCCCCUCUCUCCGAAGAGGCUGCCAUGAUAUGCGUUCACACGUGGAGAGGAGAGACCCUCUUCUGCUGCUUAUUUUCGCGUCUUUCUGCAGUGUCCUUUGUUGCAUUUUAGUGCAUUGAUUUACCUUCAAUACCUGGAGAAAGUGCUUAUUUGGGUUGCAUUUUACUAUAGACACCAAGAUUUGCUUCACACACUCUGUGUGUGUGUGUGUGUGAGAGAGAAACAGAGCACUGGGUCUUUGUUACUGUCAAAAUGAAGUGAUGUUUGCCAGGUUUUCUAUGUAUGACUGAAUGAAAUGUAAAAUUAGCGACUUUUUAGUCAAUUCAGGUCUUGUAUCAUUUAAUGUUGAAAUUGUGUAAAAAAAGAGCUAUUACGAUAUCUGAAAACCGAGCUACUUUGUUCAUAGAAAAUAUACAACAAAAUUGUGAACAAAGAAACAAACCCUCUUGCCAUUGAAUAUUAUUAUUCCUUAUUUAAUUUGAACAUGACAUUACAUUAUAGGAAAUGCAUUAUGGUAUACCCGUUAAAUGUGUUAAAGUGUAUGUGAGCGAUAGGUUCAGUUCAGACUGACUGUGUUUUACUUGUGGGUGGCAAAAUAAGAACAAUAUGAAACAUAACAUUAAAAAGCAACUUUUCUUGCUAACACUCAAUUGAACCAUUUAGUGUGUGUAGGUGUAAGAGACAAAUUAGUUUAGUGCUCUAAAGAAUAAUUGCAUAUAUAAUUUCUCCUAAACAAUUUAUAGGCACUCGAAAAGACGGUUUCAUAAUUUCUUUUAAAUUGUAAUUUUAUGCUGUUGUGCUUUUUUUUUUUAACAAAAGUGUAAUGUGAGUUUCUGUGUGUCUAUAUAUAUAUAUAUAUAUAUAUAUAUGUAUAUAUGUGUGUUAUAAUCAUGUGCAGUGGAUACAAAAUAUGGUUCAUGUAUGUGUUGACUUUUACUAAGCCUUAAAAAUCAUGACAGGGCUAUUUAAAAAAAAAACGAUUUCAUUUCAUAACGCAUGCAAUUAGUUUGUCUCAAUCUAAAGUCACACUGAAAUCCUUGCUAAUUGAAAUGACGGCAUUGUACUGUAGCUGCUUUGCAUUACUGUUAUGUGAUGCAAGAAGGUGAAUGUUUGAAAUGUGGAUUUUUCACUGACAUGUUUCAAUUUUCCCAAACACACUAAUACACGCAAACCACACACAACUAAGCGACAUUUCUAUUUGACUUUUCUCUUAUCUCUGGAAAAUGUGUUUUCAUCGACUAGCCGGCAAGCAAUAAUGUGAAGGCAGAGUAGGACGUUCUUCGCGGAGGCCGCCGUUAAACACUGCACCAUCAUUUGUCCUCCUGCCUGUUCUAGAGAGAGAGAGAGCGAGAGAGAGAGAGUGAUGAUAGAUACAGCUUCAAAUGUCACUGAAGAAAUGGCCUCUGACAUGAAUGUUUUAUUCAGUCUCCUUUCCCUGAUCACAUCUAUACAAUAGAAAAUGUAAAUGUUAUGCAGAAUGCUUAAAAAUUCACUAUAUAUUUUAUGACCUUCUAUAAAAGAGGGGCAAAA
Carassius gibelio (silver crucian carp) is the source of this 2199-nucleotide long non-coding RNA. RefSeq lists it as uncharacterized. The transcript has 2 exons. The record is from RefSeq and is a predicted model, not a curated record. NCBI's taxonomy places the organism in Eukaryota, Metazoa, Chordata, Actinopteri, Cypriniformes, Cyprinidae.